GAAAUAUAGUGUUUAAUUUAAAGCUUCUAACUUUUUAAUUUAAUGGUUAAAUUCCAUUUAUAUUUCU
Molecule: transfer RNA, 67 nt
Filed under: Epicypta sp. WQY003
Lineage: Eukaryota; Metazoa; Arthropoda; Insecta; Diptera; Mycetophilidae
Description: tRNA-Ser
Source: RNAcentral